This 1426-nucleotide long non-coding RNA is filed under the name Mus musculus (house mouse). RNAcentral's name for it is "long non-coding RNA chr19:46222063-46223489". Lineage: Eukaryota; Metazoa; Chordata; Mammalia; Rodentia; Muridae. The record is from RNAcentral.
AACAAAACAAUCAAGGUGGCAGUUCUUCCCCAUUUAUGUCUAUUUCUAAUUAAGCUUUUUCAAAUAUAUGCCUAUGCUUGUAUGUAUGAGUGCAGGCACAGAGUCGGCAGAGGGCAUCAGAUCUCAUGAAAUUGGAGUGACAGGCUGUUGUGAGCUAUCUGAUGUGGGGGCUGGGAAUCAAAGUCAGGUCCUUUGGAAGAGCAGGAAGCACUUGUAACUGCUGAGCCAUCCCCCCAAUCCCUGUGGUGUGUGUGUGUGUGUGUGUGUGUGUGUGUGUGUGUAAUUUUGGUGGCCAAUACAAAUAACAUUUUCUCCAUUAUAAUUUUAUUUUCUUUGUUUACUUUGAGAUGAUUGCAUCCAGCUAAAUUUCUUCUUGCUUUACUACUACUGGCUACCUUCUCCUGUAUUCCUGUAGUUGUUUUAUUAUAUGCUCAUAAUAGUUCAGUCUUUGGAGCUUUUUCCCUUAUGGUGUCUUUUUCCAGCAGGGUCAACUUUGUACAUGACAAUUCAUAUCUCCAGACUGGGGAAACAAAAGCUUCAAGGCAUUUUUAGUACAUAGGCAUGAAAUGCUAAAUCCUGUCAAUUCCAGAUCCAAGGUCUGCUUCCUAUCAGGUAGCAUAAUAUAGAUUAGGCUUUGGAAACUCCCAAAAUAGCAUUUGCUAAUUUGCCCUUUCCUUCUUCCUUUUAUUUUUCCUGGUAUCUGUGUAGAUCCUACCAUAGUCUAGAUUCCUGUAAGACUCUGUCAUCUGGUCAACUGCUACUACCAAAUAGCUAUAUUUAUUGUUAUGAGCAAAAAUCUGUUUGAAAAAGGCAGCAAAGGAAGACUUUUUAGUGUAUCAUUUUCCCAUUGCUGUCCUGGGUGAAGCAUAACUCCCAUGGACAGAAAUACAGAGUUCAUUUGAGUAUAAAAUAGCAGGCAAGGAAACAGGUGUAGAUGGGCUUUGUUGUGAGAUCUGCCUACUCUCCAGGAAGACAGCCUCCCCCUCACCUCCCCAACAGAAGUCUCUCCCCUUCCUUCAUUACAGAUCAUCGUAAGACUUCCAUCCUAUGCUGGUCUACGUAGAAAUGAGAGAGUACAUACUUUUUCUUUUAACACAUCGUACUUUUUCCUCCCCUGAGCUUGCUAACCUUCAGCUUAAGUGUGCACCAAGUGCAGAUGUAUAGUCUUCCUCCCUUCCUGUCCCUCACUUAUUCUGAAGGAAGGCAGCAGGUGAGGGGAUGCGGAAAGCAUGGGGUGGGAGGCUGGGAGGGAGGAGUUUUUCUCACACGCACUAUGGAUGUUGCUCAACCAAAUGGUGUGAAAUUGAGUCAGAGCCACAGCAUGUGUUUCAAUUUUCCAGGGAAUUUCCUCUUCCUAACUGUAGGUUUAACCCUUUCUUUUGUUUAAUGCCAAGAGUUACCUAAAAACAUAAAAUGAGUUAAAUAU